AAUUCUCCCGCGCGCCACCUGGCCAAACAUUAUAUAUUAUAUACGUAAAACUAAUUAAUAAUAUAAAUAUAUAUUAUAUUAUAUAAAUUAUAUACUUAUAUUUAUAUAUAAGAAAUGGGUAGCUUCCAGAGGAAGCUACCCAUUUCUUCUCUCUCGCUCUCUCUCUCUCUCUCUCUCUCAUUUCUUCUCUCUCUCUCUCUGUCUCUCCGGCGAGCUCAGCCGGCCGGUGUGGUGAGCUCCGGCGUCGUCACGUCUCCCUCUCACCGACUGUCUCUCUCUCACCGAUUCCCUCUAGCUCUCUCGCUCUCUCUCUCUCUCUGUCUCUCUCUCUCUGUCUCUCUCUCUCUGUCUCUCUCUUUCUCUCUCUUUCUCUCUCUACUGGGACGUCCCUCCGGCAGGGGUUGGCUAGGCCGUCGGUUCCCUUUCCUCCGGUCGGGUAUAUAUAUAAAGAAGGAGCCCUAAAUCCACAACCUACCGUCGACAAGGAAUAUGGACAAGUCUUGGAUGUCAGCACCUAGGGGUACGACAACGUAUAACGACGGGUGUAGGGCGUUUGUGACAUUUGCCGUUCGUAACUGUACGGCCGUCGAUGGAAAAAUUUACUGCCCAUGCAAGUAUUGUCGAAAUAACCAGCGUCACACUCCUGAUUACGUUCUUGCCCACCUGACUGGAGGUCGGGGGAUGAAUCCGGGAUACCAUUUGUGGUAUAUGCACGGUGAGACUACGACUGGAUCCGCUAUUCCUGGUCAGUGUUCGAGUUAUCACAGUGGCACAGAGGCCGCUGACCAUAGCACUGAACAUGGUGA
Long non-coding RNA from Alnus glutinosa, 806 nucleotides. RefSeq lists it as uncharacterized. The record is from RefSeq and is a predicted model, not a curated record. The transcript is spliced from 3 exons. Lineage: Eukaryota; Viridiplantae; Streptophyta; Magnoliopsida; Fagales; Betulaceae.